UACGUAGGGUGCAAGCGUUGUCCGGAAUUAUUGGGCGUAAAGAGCUCGUAGGCGGUUUGUCGCGUCUGCUGUGAAAACCCGGGGCUCAACCCCGGGCCUGCAGUCGAUACGGGCAGACUAGAGUGCGGUAGGGGAGACUGGAAUUCCUGGUGUAGCGGUGAAAUGCGCAGAUAUCAGGAGGAACACCGGUGGCGAAGGCGGGUCUCUGGGCCUGUACUGACGCUGAGGAGCGAAAGCGUGGGGAGCGAACAGG
RNAcentral lists this ribosomal RNA (253 nucleotides) under uncultured bacterium. Its description in RNAcentral is "partial 16S ribosomal RNA". It matches the Rfam family "Bacterial small subunit ribosomal RNA", at positions 524 to 776 of the family's 1533-position model. The record is from RNAcentral.